AUUCAAGGCUGCCAAGCUCUUCUGUGAAGUACAGUCAUGGAACUUCAGAGAAGCCUUCCAUGGUUAGGUCAUUCGAUGCUGUCACCCCUUCCACAUAAAUAGCACAUCUGCUCAAGACAUAGAGUUUAUUUUGAAGGACACAGAUCUGGAAACACUUUGUCCCUGGAUGGACUUUCAGCCAAAUGAGGAUCUCCAUAGGAAUGGAAGAAAUCACACGCUCUGCUCCAGGAUCCUGCAUUUGCCAGGUCACAUUGCUUUACUUUGGAUUUCUACCAUCCGAGAGAAGGUCAGUCCAAAGACCUGAGACCUACCAUGGUGCUGCAGAUUGCUGAGCAACGCCAGGGAAUAUGUCCUCUUGCAUCUUUGCCAGAUGCAUGACUGGAGAAAAUGAGAUGAUUCCUUUUAUAUUUUUCUUUUUAAUUUUUUUCUUUACAAUCCAGGCCUUCAUUGCCUGUUGGUACCUGUUCAACACCAACAGCCAACAAUUACCACUCUUUUUUCUGGCUCAAGUACUUAUUUUUUUAGCUUUUUUUGGUUGUCGUUGUUAAGGAACUGUGUUUAUAGUUCACAUUUUAGAGUUGCAAGGAACCGUAAAGGUCAUAGAGUUCAACCAUCCAAUUUGACCAUGAAGAAAUUGAGGCUCUGAAGUGAAGUGCUUCAUUCCAGUUUCUACAGCUCAUCUCUAGCAGAGGUGAGAAAGGACCCUCACUCCAGACGAGGUGCUCUUUUCUACGCACAAUUGUUAUCCCCCUUUCUAUUUUCCCACCUAUUUAUAGUACCCUUCCUCUGGGCUCUCUAAGACAUAAGAUUAUAGGACAUACAGUUCCAAGAAUCCCUGUUUAUGUUUUGUUAGCAGAUGGCCUUCAAAUACUAACCUUUGGUUGCCUUAAA
Molecule: long non-coding RNA, 891 nt
Organism: Prionailurus viverrinus (fishing cat)
Lineage: Eukaryota; Metazoa; Chordata; Mammalia; Carnivora; Felidae
Exons: 4
Source: RefSeq, a predicted model, not a curated record